AGUCACUGACAUUAGAUACCCGCGUAGUCCAGGGUGUAAACGCUGCAGACUUGGUGUUGGAAGUCCUUUGGGGGCAUUCAGUGCCGGAGAGAAGUUGUUAAGUCUGCUACUUGGGGAGUACGUCCGCAAGGAUGAGACUUAAAGGAAUUGGCGGGGGAGCACCGCAACGGGAGGAGCGUGCGGUUUAAUUGGAUUCAACACCGUAAAACUCACCAGGGAAGACUGUUACAUGAAAGCCGAGAUGAAGACUCUGCUAGAUUUUCAG
Molecule: ribosomal RNA, 265 nt
Filed under: uncultured archaeon
Lineage: Archaea
Description: partial 16S ribosomal RNA
Rfam family: Archaeal small subunit ribosomal RNA
Source: RNAcentral